UGCCAGUGAUAAACUGGAGGAAGGUGGGGAUGACGUCAAGUCAUCAUGGCCCUUACGACCAGGGCUACACACGUGCUACAAUGGCGCAUACAAAGAGAAGCGACCUCGCGAGAGCAAGCGGACCUCAUAAAGUGCGUCGUAGUCCGGAUUGGAGUCUGCAACUCGACUCCAUGAAGUCGGAAUCGCUAGUAAUCGUGGAUCAGAAUGCCACGGUGAAUACGUUCCCGGGCCUUGUACACACCGCCCGUCACACCAUGGGAGUGGGUUGCAAAAGAAGUAGGUAGCUUAACCUUCGGGAGGGCGCUUACCACUUUGUGAUUCAUGACUGGGGUGAAGUCGUAACA
RNAcentral lists this ribosomal RNA (344 nucleotides) under Salmonella enterica. Its description in RNAcentral is "bacterial SSU rRNA". It matches the Rfam family "Bacterial small subunit ribosomal RNA", at positions 1150 to 1493 of the family's 1533-position model. Lineage: Bacteria; Pseudomonadati; Pseudomonadota; Gammaproteobacteria; Enterobacterales; Enterobacteriaceae. RNAcentral also lists the same sequence under 2 other names. The record is from RNAcentral.